RNAcentral lists this ribosomal RNA (327 nucleotides) under uncultured eukaryote. RNAcentral describes it as "partial 18S ribosomal RNA". It matches the Rfam family "Eukaryotic small subunit ribosomal RNA", at positions 1470 to 1796 of the family's 1831-position model. The record is from RNAcentral.
CCCUUAGAUGUUCUGGGCCACACGCGCGUUACACUGAUGAAGCCAGCGAGUAUAUCGCCUUCACCGGAAGGUGCGGGUAAUCUUGUGAAACUUCAUCGUGCUGGGGAUAGACCAUUGCAAUUACUGGUCUUGAACGAGGAAUUCCUAGUAAGCAUGAGUCAUCAACUCGUGCUGAUUACGUCCCUGCCCUUUGUACACACCGCCCGUCGCUACUACCGAUUGAAUGGUUUAGUGAGAUCUCGGGAUUGGAGACGUUGCGCCGCAAGGCACAUCGGCCUCGAGAACUUGAUCAAACUUGAUCAUUUAGAGGAAGUAAAAGUCGUAACA